AUUGAACGCUGGCGGCAGGCCUAACACAUGCAAGUCGAACGGUAACAGGAAGCAGCUUGCUGCUUCGCUGACGAGUGGCGGACGGGUGAGUAAUGUCUGGGAAACUGCCUGAUGGAGGGGGAUAACUACUGGAAACGGUAGCUAAUACCGCAUAACGUCGCAAGACCAAAGAGGGGGACCUUAGGGCCUCUUGCCAUCGGAUGUGCCCAGAUGGGAUUAGCUAGUAGGUGGGGUAACGGCUCACCUAGGCGACGAUCCCUAGCUGGUCUGAGAGGAUGACCAGCCACACUGGAACUUAGACACGGUCCAGACUCCUACGGGAGGCAGCAGUGGGGAAUAUUGCACAAUGGGCGCAAGCCUGAUGCAGCCAUGCCGCGUGUAUGAAGAAGGCCUUCGGGUUGUAAAGUACUUUCAGCGGGGAGGAAGGGAGUAAAGUUAAUACCUUUGCUCAUUGACGUUACCCGCAGAAGAAGCACCGGCUAACUCCGUG
Molecule: ribosomal RNA, 490 nt
Filed under: uncultured bacterium
Lineage: Bacteria
Description: partial 16S ribosomal RNA
Rfam family: Bacterial small subunit ribosomal RNA
Source: RNAcentral